UGAGCGAAGGAGUGACGGAGACGGAUAGUGUGACCCUCUUAAUGGAUUGAGGGCGAAGCGAAGCGGCUGGUUACCAGGCAAAUCCGGUAACCAUAAGGCUAGAUCGUGACAGGUAAGCGAAAUCUUAGGAAAGUAGCGAAGCACAUGAUGACGGCUUCCAGGAAAAGCUUCUGGCAAUGCAUAUGCGGCCCGUACCAAAACCGACACAGGUGGGCAGGGAGAGAAUCCCGAGGUGAGCGAGAGAACUGUUGCCAAGGAACUCGGCAAAAUGACUCCGUAAGUUAGCGAGAAGGAGUGCUUAAGCAAUUAAGCCGCAGUGAAGAGGCCCAAGCGACUGUUUAACUAAAACACAGCUCUCUGCGAAGUCGCAAGACGAAGUAUAGGGGGUGACACCUGCCCGGUGCUGGAAGGUUAAGAGGAUCUGUUAAGAGCGAUCUGAAGCAGUGAUCCGAAGCCCCAGUGAACGGCGGCCGAAACUAUAACGGUCCUAAGGUAGCGAAAUUCCUUGUCAGGUAAGUUCUGACCCGCACGAAAGGUGUAACGAUUUGGGCGCUGUCUCGGCAGCAGACUCGGUGAAAUCUUAGUACCUGUGAAAAUGCAGGUUACCCGCAACUAGACGGAAAGACCCCAUGGAGCUUUACUGCAGCCUGAUAUUGAAUUCUGGUCAUACAUGUACAGGAUAGGUGGGAGACAAAGAGACGUGCACGCCAGUGUACGAGGAGUCGACGUUGGGAUACCACUCUUGUGUGACCGGGGUUCUAACCUGGUAUCGAGAACAGGUACGGGGAGAGUGUCAGGUGGGCAGUUUGACUGGGGCGGUCGCCUCCCAAAGAGCAACGGAGGCGCCCAAAGGUACGCUCAGAUUGGAUGGAAACCAAUCGUCGAGUGCAAUUGCAGAAGCGUGCUUGACUGUGAGACAGACAAGUCGAACAGGGACGAAAGUCGGGAAUAGUGAUCCGGCGGUGCCGAAUGGAAGGGCCGUCUCUCAACGGAUAAAAGCUACCCUGGGGAUAACAGGCUGAUCUCGCCCAAGAGUUCACAUCGACGGCGAGGUUUGGCACCUCGAUGUCGGCUCAUCGCAUCCUGGAGCUGGAUUCGGUUCCAAGGGUUGGGCUGUCCGCCCAUUAAAGCGGUACGCGAGCUGGGUUCAGAACGUCGUGAGACAGUUCGGUCCCUAUCUGUUGUGGGCGAAGGAGAUCUGCGGAGAGCUGUCCUCAGUACGAGAGGACCGGGAUAGACCUACCGCUGGUGCACCGGUUGUUCCGCCAGGGGCAUAGCCGGGUAGCUAAGUAGGGAAAGGAUAAGCGCUGAAAGCAUCUAAGCACGAAGCCUACUCCAAGAUGAGAUCUCCCAUUCGCAAGAAGUAAGACCCCUUAAAGACGA
RNAcentral lists this ribosomal RNA (1383 nucleotides) under metagenome. Its description in RNAcentral is "bacterial LSU rRNA". It matches the Rfam family "Bacterial large subunit ribosomal RNA", at positions 1458 to 2847 of the family's 2925-position model. The record is from RNAcentral.